CAGGAACUAUGCACAAAUGGAAGUCAUCAGCUUGGUAACCACUAGUGCCUCAGGAACAUGAAUCGUCAAUGCAUAUGCUAGAAAGAGGCUCAUGGCAUUCUGUGAAGCCAGAACAAGUAGCCCUGCUUAGCCACACCCAGUAAUGCAUAGAGAUCACUCAGUGCUGCUUUGCAUUCAGCAAUCACUCUGGCUGAGCCUGGAGGAUUGUAUAGGGGUUUUGG
Molecule: long non-coding RNA, 221 nt
Organism: Suncus etruscus (white-toothed pygmy shrew)
Lineage: Eukaryota; Metazoa; Chordata; Mammalia; Eulipotyphla; Soricidae
Exons: 3
Source: RefSeq, a predicted model, not a curated record